This is a long non-coding RNA of Gallus gallus (chicken), 615 nucleotides long. The record is from Ensembl. NCBI's taxonomy places the organism in Eukaryota, Metazoa, Chordata, Aves, Galliformes, Phasianidae.
AUAAUUUCCUGGUAGACCUACUGCACAGCAGUGAAGUUAUUUAUGUAUAAUAAAGCAAGAACAUUUAAGCUACCAAAUAGAAAAAAGCCAUUGUAGUGGAAAUGCUAAGUCACGGCCUGAACCAGCAAUUGAGCACCUGGUAGAAAGGCAGAGCCAACACAAGAGAGCUCAGAUACAUGCAAUGUACCUUAGUAACUGGAAGGGGCGGAGCCAGGAUCCAAUCCUUCCCAGACCUCAUUUAAGGGUUGGCGGUGGAGGUAAGGGUAUCUUGCUGGAAAUCCCUGUCUACCAGAGGUGUUCUGAAGAUGUCUUCAUCAUAUCAUCCAUUUAGUGGACACCUGAUGAGGAUAUAUGGACACUAGACAGUACUCUCUUGCUCUUCAGUUGAAAACAGGUGGAUGGAAUGAAUCUUGUUUGGUGAUUAGGGAGAAGCACAAUCAGAGGAUAAAAUCACAACACAGAAUUCAGCCGAUCCUGAAAUUCAGGAUAGAGAUCUAUGAUGGAGGUCUACAAAUACCUUGUCUCCAAAAAAAUCUUGAGAACUUCUAAAGCACACGUUAAGGUUACCACUACUGAAUGCCAUCUUGGCUUCUCUGGACAAAAAUUGUACCUCAC